UUCUCAUAAGAGCUCUAUUGCUGAAUUAACAGAAAAGCACUCGAGGGCCAUUGAGUUCCAGUCUGUAACGGAAGCACGUCAAGUAGAGAUAGAUCAGAAAUUGCAGGAAGUCAUUCAAAAGUUUGAUCAGAGAGAUUCCGAGGCUAAGGACUUGAGUGAGAAACUGAAGACAGCAGAGGACCAGAUAAAAUUGUUGGAAGCAAAGACUUUGGAAGCUUCUGCAGAUGCUGAAGCUCAUAAGAGUCAGCUAGAAGAGACUCUUUUGAAAGUAAAG
Molecule: unclassified non-coding RNA, 274 nt
Filed under: Hevea brasiliensis (rubber tree)
Lineage: Eukaryota; Viridiplantae; Streptophyta; Magnoliopsida; Malpighiales; Euphorbiaceae
Source: RNAcentral